Molecule: long non-coding RNA, 395 nt
Organism: Maniola jurtina (meadow brown)
Lineage: Eukaryota; Metazoa; Arthropoda; Insecta; Lepidoptera; Nymphalidae
Exons: 4
Source: RefSeq, a predicted model, not a curated record
AAAAAGCCUCGAAAAGCCCUGAAAAAACGAGUCUUCAUGUACUAAGAUAAGACUGUAUAGGAUUCGGGGGCUUACGAUUUCUUUUCAUGUCUUGUGAUUUUCGGGAGGGUUUGGGAAAAAAUGUCCUUAGUAUUUACAUGAUACAUGAGUGUCAAUAUUAGAGAAAAACCGGCUAAGUGCGAGUCAGAAUCGCGCACUGAGGGUUCCGUACUCGGGUAUUUUUUCCGACACUUUGCACGAUAAAUCAAAAACUGUUAUGCUUAAAAAUAAAUAACAAUCUGUUUUAGAAAGUACAAGUAAAGGCCUUUCAUUUGGUACCCCACUUGAUACAGUUAUCUUACUUUAAAAAUAGAAAAUAAGAAAUUAUUAGUUUAUUAUUUUUUAUUUUAUUUUUU